AAAUCAGGUAGGAUUACCCGCUGAACUUAAGCAUAUCAAUAAGCGGAGGAAAAGAAACUAACAAGGAUUCCCCUAGUAACUGCGAGUGAAGCGGGAAAAGCUCAAAUUUAAAAUCUGGUAGUCUUUGGCUGCCCGAGUUGUAGUCUAGAGAAGUGUUUUCCGCGCUGGACCGUGUACAAGUCUCUUGGAACAGAGCGUCAUAGAGGGUGAGAAUCCCGUCUUUGACACGGACUACCAGUGCUUUGUGAUGCGCUCUCAAAGAGUCGAGUUGUUUGGGAAUGCAGCUCAAAAUGGGUGGUAAAUUCCAUCUAAAGCUAAAUAUUGGCGAGAGACCGAUAGCGAACAAGUACCGUGAGGGAAAGAUGAAAAGCACUUUGGAAAGAGAGUUAAACAGUACGUGAAAUUGUUGAAAGGGAAACGCUUGAAGUCAGUCGCGUCGUCCAGAACUCAACCUGGCUUUCGCUUGGUGCACUUUCUGGUUGACGGGCCAACAUCAGUUUUGACUGUCGGAAAAAGUCCUUGGGAAUGUGGCACCUUCGGGUGUGUUAUAGCCCUUGGUCGUAUACGAUGGUUGGGACUGAGGACCGCAGCACGCCUUUUGGCCGGGGUUCGCCCACGUACCGUGCUUAGGAU
RNAcentral lists this ribosomal RNA (633 nucleotides) under Mycoacia nothofagi. RNAcentral's name for it is "partial 28S ribosomal RNA". It matches the Rfam family "Eukaryotic large subunit ribosomal RNA", at positions 8 to 624 of the family's 3401-position model. Lineage: Eukaryota; Fungi; Basidiomycota; Agaricomycetes; Polyporales; Meruliaceae. The record is from RNAcentral.